Long non-coding RNA from Macaca mulatta (Rhesus monkey), 1997 nucleotides. RefSeq lists it as uncharacterized. Lineage: Eukaryota; Metazoa; Chordata; Mammalia; Primates; Cercopithecidae. The record is from RefSeq and is a predicted model, not a curated record.
GGGGAAUCCUGCAGCUGGAGGGGCCACAGCUAUGCGCAAGGUGAGCACUUCCCAGGCAGCUCUCUGAAGGCUAAAGGGCGACCCCUAAGUACCCUGGAUGCCCCCGGAAUAGCCAUGUGAGCCCAGAGCCCACACAUGCCAUGUGACAGGACCUCGUCCAACCACAGUCACAUCUGGGCUUUUCUCCAUCAAGAGUGAAAAAGGCAAACACUUUAGAGACUCCCGACCUCGGGUCUCCUCCCACCUCCACUUGCAGCUGCUGGGAAGCUGCCAGAGUGCAGAUUGUUCUCUGAAACUCAUUCAGGAAGAAUCUGUUCCCUGGGCUUCUCGAAGUGAACCGGCCACCUCUGAGCCACCCGAGGGUGGGUCAGAGCUCAGCAGGCCCAGGAGCUGAAGACGCCGCUAAUGCCUCGGGUCCUCGCCUGCCACCAGGCAGCUCCCGAAUGCUGACCCCGAAGGCCGCUGUCCCGUUUCCUCUGUCUCUUUACAGGAAAACGGGGGCGGAAAUGAAAUGUCAGGGCCGGUGGACACUGGCCUUUCAGCAUCUCCCAAAGAUGAGAAGCGCCCUCCGUCUCUGAUUAUAACUGCUUCUGUGACAUGUAAGGCACAAAAAUUAUCCUGUGAGGUCGGACACCAGAGAAACCCACGGGCACUGGGCUGUCUGGAGGAUAUUUUAAGGUUUCUGAAUGAAAAAUAAAACGGGCCGCUGCUGGACUCACAGGCCAUCGGGAGGAUGAAAACACACGCGUGAUUGCCGCAUGGUGGCUGUGACGUUAACAAGCAUUUGAUACCAGGUGAAGACGUGGAGGACCCCAAAUCUGAGACUAAGUUUGGAAGGAGAUGAGACAACUGGGUUGUGUGGUCUCACCCCUGAGCCCUGUAGCCACCUGGACUCUCCAGCCCAGCGCCAUGUCGCAGAAGCUCCGUGUGGUCACCAGGCCAGCAAUGGAAAUAUCACCUGCACACUGCCCUUGGGGGAGCCCAGUCCCCAUGCUGUGAUCUCGCUCAUCCAGCCAGCAGACCCGGGGUUCCGAGUGGAGGCCCCAGUGGAAUUUAAGACCUGUUCAUCCCACUUACAGAGGUGCUGGUUGCUGUCUGUAUUUCUGUAUUGAUGGUGGCCAUGGGGGGCUCCCCGCUGCUCUCCAGGUCUCCGUCCAGUUUGGGACUCCAUUGUCCCUCCCACGGGUCUCCGCUUUCUCACACCCAGCUCCUCCUCUCCCGCUUCCUUUAUCAUCUUCACUUGAGGUCCUGGCCUCCUCAGGAUAGCAACCCUCAGCUCUGCAGACCAGACAAAAGGGCAGUUGUGGUCUGGGAGAGCUUGUUGAUCUGAAUUCCGUAACGAUUCAUUUUUAUGCAGUGGUAUGUGUGUGUGCUCGCGCACACGUACACACACACGUACACACACACGUACACACACACUGCAUCUUUGAAAAGGCUUCAGGCUGGAAGAUAGCUGCCCUUGGUGUGUUGAGGGCAAGAGCUGUGCAGGGUGGUACAAGGUUUCUCUCCCAAACCCAUCAUUGCCACAACCACUCCAGUGCAAAACUGUGUAGACUCUCUUCUGGCAGGCACUGCAUUCCAGGAGCCAGUCUUUCCCCUAGCGAGAGGCCCAAGUCCAUGGCUGGAAGCAACCUCUGCUCCUGGUGCUGGCACAGUCAGAGCAUCAUGGACCACAUUUGCUUUGGGGAGGGAAAGAACUUCUGGAGCCUGCAUCUCUGGUACCCAGGUGACAGCAGACCCAGCCGUGUCACUGCAGCCAGGCCGUGCUUGGCAGCUUUAGGGAAACAAAUUAGCAGAUGACUGCAGGGUCCAGGGACUUAGCAAGCUGCCUCCAGGGCAGAGGAAUCAAAAGACAGAUUUGUUUGUUUAUUUGUUAUUUUUCUGGCCCUGGCUUCAAUUCCCAUACACAGAACUUGGCUGUGGGAUUCUUUAAAAAAAAAAAAUCAUUCUAUUCUUGGAUUUUAAGCCAUUAUUAAAAUUCUAUUGUAUUUUUUUCA